ACAUGAUCAGAAAGUGAGGGAGAAGGUAUAGUUGUAACUAAUGCCCAGGACUGAACAACAAUGCUUUCCAUAAUACAGAGGUAUCCUAUGGUAUCCUGGUCCAAAAAGCUAUUAUGGUGAUAUUGCACCUUAAUGUUUCCUACAUGAAUUCUAUAUACUAAAAUUGAGUUGUUGGAAUGGCUGUUGUUUUUCUACCUGGAGGUGAGGGGUAUAAAAAAAUAUAGUUUUCAUCUCAUAAUAAGCAGAAUAUUCCUGCAUAUUAUAGAUACCUUAAAGAAUUUGGUGCAUAUCUUCCCAUAAGAUGGACCAGAUGGGAAUGCAGUGAUAAAGUUCAUCCUAGGGCAGGGCAGGACAAGUGAAAUGUGAAGUGAAACACUACCCAGAGUCCAGAUUCUUGAUUCUGUAAUCUUCGGGUUGUUGGUUUGGGUCACAAUCUCUAGAACCAGUGCUGUCUGCUUUGGGGACAGUAGACAACAUUCUUAGGCAGCUGCUGGAGUCUCUUAGAGCAAUCAUUACAAUAGUCCUUGGCCCUCUAAAAAGAUCACUAGGCAAACAACAUGCCAUUCCUGUUGUUUGCAGGUGAACACAGUAUUUGCUGUUGGCAGUGCUUUGGAAGACAAUUCUAUUUCCAUAGCGUUGUGUGAAAGAGAAUAAAAAUGUCCAUGUUUUUGGGUCAAUGGUCAUUCUUUUACAGAUGCUCUCCAUGCCUUCCAGGAGUAAAAUGCAUGGGAGAAGAGGGAAUGAAAAUGGUUUCUGCUCUGAGCUGCAGAUGCCCACAUGAAACCUUAAGGAGAAAGCCACCAUAAUGGAAUAGAGGUUAGCACUAACAAGACCUAGGCUGGGAGAACUUUGGGGAGACAGGCCUCAGUAGCCAGGAAGGCUUCAUUUCACCAGUUAAUCAAAGCAGAUCCUUCAUUCCUUAAUGUUUUGAUCCUGGAUUUAUUUAAAUUGAAGCCUAACUCUUGGUGGCUAUCACCCAUCACUUUCUUGUUUCUCCACUUCCUUUGGCUGCAGAAGCUGAGUUUGAUCUCUGUUGACUAUAUAAUGGUAGUGAUCCAUGUACUUAAUAUCUGCCCCCCCCAUGCACAUUUUGAACUUGGGUAGAAAUAAAAGCCAAAGGCUUCUCUAGUCCCCAGAGCAUCAAAUAUGUAUCUUGGUGAAUGACAAGUUAUCCUAGAGCUUCCAGGUCUUUAAAUUCAAUGCUCCUCCUCCAGAUUUUUCAUACCUUCUUCAGAGAUAAGUACUGCUGGUGGCUUGGUUUCUUCUCAGCUGCAUGUAGCAAAUAGAGGAACUAUGGUUUUCAAAAUGGUGCUUCUGUUAUGAGUUUUUUGUCAUGUUUUAGAAUAGGAUCUUUCUUUACAAAAAGUAGGAGCAUCCCACUCUCUUCUUCAAGAUCGUUUACAAGUUUUUUUAAGUGUAUCAUAUACACAAAACCAUGAACAAAGGUAACUGGGGCUUAUAUUCUACUAGGCCGUAUCCAAGCCUGUUGAAAUGGCUUUGUAGAAACCAAGAGAUUUUUGGCAGACCAGAAUUAGGCCUUUUGUGGGAGGGCUUCUCCCUACCUUGACUUGGUAGGAAGAAGAAUUGCGAAGACAUCAGAUUCAUUGGGAACAGUGUAGUGCGUGUAGAAUGGAAAAUUACUGGACAGGACAGAAUGGUUUCCAUUGACCUUCUCCUCUAGUGGUACUGUAAUUCCAAGGUGCUAGACUGCUCUCAUUAUAUUUCUAGACCUUUGUGUAGAAUUAUACAUAAUAAAAUUCUGAAGGGUUCUAAAAUUAAUCUGUCAGGUCCAAACCAGAAAUUUCACAUGCUUCCUAUAUACAUUUUUACACUUUAAUAUUCAUAUUGAAAAUACCAAACUGGUUACAUUUAAGAAGUACACAUUUUCUUUGAAAUUUUAUCAAUUUAUAUGUCAUUUUCUGACUGAAUUCAGGCACUUUUUAAAAGUUAACUAUCAGAUUUUACUCAAACAAGUGCUAUGGCAUGCCCUAGAGCAGGAUUGCUGUCAGUGAAGACUCGAGUUCUUCACUAAACAACAUUUCCCAAUUUUUUUUUUUUCCAGUUUCUUGUGACCACUAACCUGGAAUAAAAAAUAAUAUAUAUUUUUGGUAUGGAUAUACCUUUGAGGAUGUUAAUAAUUCCAGUGUGUCUCUAGAGAUGAGCAAAUUCCAGAAAAUAGCAUUUGUCCACUGUAAAAUUGUGAAUGUCACUAAAUAGGAAAUUUAGGUUGCGUAAUAGGUUGGCUUUAGAACUAGUUUCAGAGCUUUAUUGAUUUAGAUAUCACUUGUCAUAUUUUCAGCUGCUCUUGGUCACCAUUACUUGCUUUUCAUUGGCUCAUUGGGAAUAAUCAAUCAUGGUCUGUGUCAUGCUGGUUAUGACACACUUCCAAGUUCAAAGGCAGCAUAAAUCAAUGAAUAUUUAUGGAAAAAUGGGAUGUUGAACUAGUUGUGUGGUGGACCUGUUCCAGCAUGGCUCUUCUUAUGCUCUGGGCUUCAGAUGCUGAAGAAAAAUGUCAAAGAUUCUGAGACCUAAACGCCACAAAUCUUCCAGUUAUAUGUUCUGGCUCCAGCCAGCUCAUGGAAAUUCACACUUCCUCUUAUUGUCAGAUUAAUUUCUGGUUAUGAUUAUAGCAGAAGUGUUUGUCCAUUUUUAUUUUUAUUAUCCUGCCAUUGCUUUCUCUAAACAGUUCUGGAGUUUGUGGGGUAAGAGGCAUUAGAAAAUCCAUAGCUUCUAUUAUUUAGGGGAAGAGAGGACUAAAUCCAUUUAAUUCUAUGGUGUAUAAUAUCUAUGUCCCUAAGGAAAGCAAAUGAAAGACAGUGGAAGACGAUAGUCUUCCUCCUAUAAAUAUGGUGUGGGUAUGCGUGUUUGUGUGUAUGUGAACUCUUUAAGAAUCCUAGGAAUUGUAGUUUGGCAAGGAUACUGAGAAUUGUCAGUCAGAAGUUACUAUCCUUUCCUUGACACAAACAGCUGUUUCCCAAGUUUCCUUGGGGAGAAGAAACAGCUGUUCAACUAAUUUAGGUUUGUAGUUGUGUCCACCAAGCUCAACUGUUUUGUCUUUCCUAGACCCAAAAGCUUUGCAGAUGUGUGUAUAUUUGGGGUUCAAACAUUAAAUUAUUUAUGCACACACAUUUCCUGCCUAAUACACCCCUGAAUCGUUAUGUAAUUAUCGUUCAUAGAGGGAUAUCCUUCCUCUCCUUAGACUGAUAAAUGUGUCAGGGUUGAAGACUGAAAAAUAUAGGUAUCUACGUUCACUGGCUAAGAUGAGUUGUGAUUACAUUCCAAAGAAUUCUGAAAGCUGGAAUUUGGUGCUGAAGAGACUUGGACUUGCUGAAAGAGUUCCAGGAUAUCCUGAAUAUAAAAACAGGGAAUAUCCUACAAUAAAUCUGUAGCGCAAAUACAGAUUCAGCAGAGGGUCAAUUCCCUGAGAAUGAAUCGUAUUCAAUGUUUUUAAAGAUUUCUCCUACCCAAUUAUUCAUGGAUUGGUCUAUCAUGUUUCUCUGAGGCUUGCCUUAAACUUUUCACUUCCACAACAGUUGAGUCUUGUAAACUAUACAGCACUGAAGUCCUUUUUUGGUUGUGGUGAUAUUGGGGAGAGAAGGGCUUUUAAUUGUAUGUGGGUUUUUGAUAGUUCUUUUGCGAAAUAUACAGCAAAAGGAUGGAAAUGCCUAUGGUACUGGGUGCUUGGUGUAUACCAUGUAUACUAAAUGUCAAUUUCUGCUAUUUGUGUGUCGGUGGCAAACCUGAAAUAAAAAUGGUUAAAUAUUUAAA
Candoia aspera is the source of this 3768-nucleotide long non-coding RNA. RefSeq lists it as uncharacterized. NCBI's taxonomy places the organism in Eukaryota, Metazoa, Chordata, Lepidosauria, Squamata, Candoiidae. The transcript is spliced from 2 exons. The record is from RefSeq and is a predicted model, not a curated record.